RNAcentral lists this long non-coding RNA (330 nucleotides) under Homo sapiens (human). Its description in RNAcentral is "HSALNT0207265". Lineage: Eukaryota; Metazoa; Chordata; Mammalia; Primates; Hominidae. The record is from RNAcentral.
CGCGGGGGCGCUGAACGGCGGAGCGGGAGCGGCCGGAGGAGCCAUGGACUGCAGCCUCGUGCGGACGCUCGUGCACAGAUACGUCUUCAGAUAAACUCAACCAAUUGUCAACCAGAAGAUGUUUAAAUUUACCUAUAGCCUGGAAGCCCCUCGCUUUGAGUUGUCUCGCCUUUCUGAACCAAACCAAUGUAUUUCUUAAAUGUAUUUAAGUCUCAUGCCUCCCUAAAAUGUAUAAAACCAAGCUGCGCCCGACCACCUUGGACACAUGUUCUCAGGACAUCCUGAGGGUUGUGCCACUCAUAUUUGGCUCAGAAUAAAUCUCUUCAGAUA